Small nuclear RNA from Molossus molossus (Pallas's mastiff bat), 105 nucleotides. Lineage: Eukaryota; Metazoa; Chordata; Mammalia; Chiroptera; Molossidae. The record is from RefSeq and is a predicted model, not a curated record.
GUGCUCACUUCAGCAACACAUAUAUUAAAAUUGGAACAAUACAGAGAAGAUUAGCAUAGCCCCUGUACAAGGAUGACACAGAAAUUUGAAAUGAGCUAUACUAUA